ACUUCGGUCAAGUUGAACGGAUGACUUAGUGGCGGACGGGUGAGUAACGCGUGAGGAACCUGCCUUUCAGUGGGGGACAACAGUUGGAAACGACUGCUAAUACCGCAUAAUGUAUUCUGACCGCAUGAUCGGAAUACCAAAGAUUUAUUGCUGAAAGAUGGCCUCGCGUCUGAUUAGAUAGUUGGUGAGGUAACGGCCCACCAAGUCAACGAUCAGUAGCCGGACUGAGAGGUUGAACGGCCACAUUGGGACUGAGAUACGGCCCAGACUCC
Molecule: ribosomal RNA, 272 nt
Filed under: uncultured Oscillospiraceae bacterium
Lineage: Bacteria; Bacillati; Bacillota; Clostridia; Eubacteriales; Oscillospiraceae
Description: partial 16S ribosomal RNA
Rfam family: Bacterial small subunit ribosomal RNA
Source: RNAcentral